AUGGCGAUCGUCCCGCACAGCGCAGGGGGUAGCACGGUGUCGAUGCCGAUGUCGAUGCUCACACCGGACAACUACACGGUGUGGGCGAUCAAGGCCGAAGCCAUCCUCGACGCCCAGAACCUCUGGGAAGCGGUGUCACCAGCGAGCGGUGCGGCGGUCGACACGGGGAAGAACAAGACGGCGAGGGCGGUGCUGUUCGGUGCGCUCUCCGAAGACUUGUUGAUGCAGGUAUCGACGAAGAAGACGGCGGCUGAGGUGUGGGCCAGCUUGAAGACGAGGUUCAUCGGUGCCGAUCGGGUCCAGGCCGCGCGGCUCUCCACCCUCCGUGGCGAGUUUGACAACCUGCGCAUGGAGGAGGGGGAGGCGCUGGACACGUACGCCGGCAAGAUAGGCGGCAUGGCAGCAAGGUAUGCUGGCCUCGGCUCGACGCUCGGCGACGCCGCCAUGGUGAAAAAACUGCUCGACACGGUGCCCGAUCGGUUGUAUGCCGCGGUGGCCGGGAUCGAGCAGUUUUGCGACGUGGAGACGAUGGCGUUCGAGGAGGCGUUGAGCAGGCUCAAGGCGUUUGACGAACGCUUACGUCGGCGCACACAGGACAACGGCGGACGAGGCGGCGAUCAACUGAUGUUCACGGCGGCCCAGUGGGAGGCACGGCAGCGUCAGCACGGCGGCAACCUCGACCACGACGACGGUGCGAGCAGUGUGGCUUCGGGCACGAGACGGCGGCGCGGGAAGUGCUACAACUGUGGCGUUCGUGGCCACUUCUCCCGCGACUGCCGGCAGCCGAAGAAGGAGAAGGCGCUCCUCGGCGACAUCGACGACGAGCCGACCUUACUGUAG
RNAcentral lists this ribosomal RNA (840 nucleotides) under Triticum aestivum (bread wheat). Its description in RNAcentral is "partial small subunit ribosomal RNA". The record is from RNAcentral. Lineage: Eukaryota; Viridiplantae; Streptophyta; Magnoliopsida; Poales; Poaceae.